UACGUAUGGGGCAAGCGUUAUCCGGAUUUACUGGGUGUAAAGGGAGCGUAGGCGGCGGGGCAAGCCUGAUGUGAAAGCCCGGGGCUCAACCCCGGGACUGCAUUGGGAACUGCCCUGCUGGAGUGCCGGAGGGGCAGGCGGAAUUCCUAGUGUAGCGGUGAAAUGCGUAGAUAUUAGGAGGAACACCAGUGGUGAAGGCGGCCUGCUGGACGGUGACUGACGCUGAGGCUCGAAAGCGUGGGGAGCAAACAGG
This 253-nucleotide ribosomal RNA is filed under the name uncultured bacterium. RNAcentral's name for it is "partial 16S ribosomal RNA". It matches the Rfam family "Bacterial small subunit ribosomal RNA", at positions 524 to 776 of the family's 1533-position model. The record is from RNAcentral.